RNAcentral lists this ribosomal RNA (253 nucleotides) under uncultured bacterium. RNAcentral describes it as "partial 16S ribosomal RNA". It matches the Rfam family "Bacterial small subunit ribosomal RNA", at positions 524 to 776 of the family's 1533-position model. The record is from RNAcentral.
UACGUAGGGUGCAGGCGUUAAUCGGAAUUACUGGGCGUAAGGCGUGCGCAGGCGGUUUCUUAAGUCAGAUGUGAAAGCCCCGGGCUUAACCUGGGAACUGCGUUUGAAACUGGGAGACUUGAGUGUGGCAGAGGGGGGUGGAAUUCCACGUGUAGCAGUGAAAUGCGUAGAUAUGUGGAGGAACACCGAUGGCGAAGGCAGCCCCCUGGGUUAACACUGACGCUCAUGCACGAAAGCGUGGGGAGCAAACAGG